This 450-nucleotide ribosomal RNA is filed under the name uncultured Glomeromycotina. Its description in RNAcentral is "SSU rRNA". It matches the Rfam family "Eukaryotic small subunit ribosomal RNA", at positions 569 to 1024 of the family's 1831-position model. Lineage: Eukaryota; Fungi; Glomeromycota. The record is from RNAcentral.
AGCAGCCGCGGUAAUUCCAGCUCCAAUAGCGUAUAUUAAAGUUGUUGCAGUUAAAAAGCUCAUAGUUGAAUUUCGGGAUCAAUUUGCUGGUCGUGCCUCUGGUACGUACUGGUAUUAUUGGUUUCUCCCUUCUGACGAACCAUGAUGUCAUUAAUUUAAUGUCGUGGGGAAUCAGGACUGUUACUUUGAAAAAUUAGAGUGUUUAAAGCAGGCAUUAGCUUGAAUACAUUAGCAUGGAAUAAUGAAAUAGGACGUUUGAUCCUAUUUUGUUGGUUUCUAGGAUUGACGUAAUGAUUAAUAGGGAUAGUUGGGGGCAUUAGUAUUCAAUUGUCAGAGGUGAAAUUCUUGGAUUUAUUGAAGACUAACUACUGCGAAAGCAUUUGCCAAGGAUGUUUUCAUUAAUCAAGAACGAAAGUUAGGGGAUCGAAGGCGAUCAGAUACCGUCGUAGU